AGUGAACGCUGGCGGUAGGCCUAACACAUGCAAGUCGAACGGCAGCACAGGAGAGCUUGCUCUCUGGGUGGCGAGUGGCGGACGGGUGAGGAAUACAUCGGAAUCUACUUUUUCGUGGGGAUAACGUAGGGAAACUUACGCUAAUACCGCAUACGACCUACGGGUGAAAGCAGGGGAUCUUCGGACCUUGCGCGAUUGAAUGAGCCGAUGUCGGAUUAGCUAGUUGGCGGGGUAAAGGCCCACCAAGGCGACGAUCCGUAGCUGGUCUGAGAGGAUGAUCAGCCACACUGGAACUGAGACACGGUACAGACUCCUACGGGAGGCAGCAGUGGGGAAUAUUGGACAAUGGGCGCAAGCCUGAUCCAGCCAUACCGCGUGGGUGAAGAAGGCCUUCGGGUUGUAAAGCCCUUUUGUUGGGAAAGAAAUCCAGCUGGCUAAUACCCGGUUGGGAUGACGGUACCCAAAGAAUAAGCACCGGCUAACUUCGUGCCAGCCGCCGCAGUAA
This 505-nucleotide ribosomal RNA is filed under the name uncultured bacterium. Its description in RNAcentral is "partial 16S ribosomal RNA". It matches the Rfam family "Bacterial small subunit ribosomal RNA", at positions 29 to 523 of the family's 1533-position model. The record is from RNAcentral.